Molecule: long non-coding RNA, 560 nt
Filed under: Homo sapiens (human)
Lineage: Eukaryota; Metazoa; Chordata; Mammalia; Primates; Hominidae
Description: non-protein coding lnc-GOLGA2-1:1
Source: RNAcentral
UUGGCCAACGGGAGGCCAAGAAGAGCAAGAGAACCAAGCUGUCCUGCUGAGAGUAUAUGAUCUAAUGGCAAGGAAACCAGGGACCACAUCAUUGGAGCACAGAGCCCAAGGGCAAGAGCAGCCAAGGAGUUAAGAGCUUGGGCUCUGGAGCCAGCUUGCCUGGGUUUCCUGACUCUACCAGGCACCUGGUGAUGAAGGAGGGCAGGAAAGGUGGCUGGAGGAGCCACGGUGGCAGGGCACACAAAGCAAGUGAGGAGCUUCCAGAGAGGCACCUCAUGUGGGGGAAAGGGUAGGUGGGCCACCCAGCUGCAGCCCCCUUCCUGAUCUGCAGGUACUCCAACCUCGACCUGAAGACCCAGGAGGCCUAUGAGAUGGCCGUGAGAGGCCUGAUCCGGCCCAUGAACAAGUCCCCGAUGCUGAUAACUGGCAUCCGAUGCCUCUACUUUGCACCUCCGGAAUUCCUCUUAGAGGUGCAGUGCAUGCAUGAGACGCAGAAAGAGCUGCGGAAGUUGGUUCAUGAAAUCGGCCUGGAACUAAAGACCACUGCUGUCUGCACCCAA